AUUGAACGCUGGCGGCAGGCUUAACACAUGCAAGUCGAACGAUGACUCUCUAGCUUGCUAGAGAAGAUUAGUGGCGGACGGGUGAGUAACAUUUAGGAAUCUGCCUAGUAGUGGGGGAUAGCUCGGGGAAACUCGAAUUAAUACCGCAUACGACCUACGGGUGAAAGGGGGCGCAAGCUCUUGCUAUUAGAUGAGCCUAAAUCAGAUUAGCUAGUUGGUGGGGUAAAGGCCCACCAAGGCGACGAUCUGUAACUGGUCUGAGAGGGUGAUCAGUCACACCGGAACUGAGACACGGUCCGGACUCCUACGGGAGGCAGCAGUGGGGAAUAUUGGACAAUGGGGGCAACCCUGAUCCAGCCAUGCCGCGUGUGUGAAGAAGGCCUUUUGGUUGUAAAGCACUUUAAGCAGGGAGGAGAGGCUAAUGGUUAAUACCCAUUAGAUUAGACGUUACCUGCAGAAUAAGCACCGGCUAACUCUGUGCCAGCAGCCGCGGUAAUACAGAGGGUGCGAGCGUUAAUCGGAAUUACUGGGCGUAAAGCGAGUGUAGGUGGCUCAUUAAGUCACAUGUGAAAUCCCCGGGCUUAACCUGGGAACUGCAUGUGAUACUGGUGGUGCUAGAAUAUGUGAGAGGGAAGUAGAAUUCCAGGUGUAGCGGUGAAAUGCGUAGAGAUCUGGAGGAAUACCGAUGGCGAAGGCAGCUUCCUGGCAUAAUAUUGACACUGAGAUUCGAAAGCGUGGGUAGCAAACAGGAUUAGAUACCCUGGUAGUCCACGCCGUAAACGAUGUCUACUAGCCGUUGGGGUCCUUGAGACUUUAGUGGCGCAGUUAACGCGAUAAGUAGACCGCCUGGGGAGUACGGCCGCAAGGUUAAAACUCAAAUGAAUUGACGGGGGCCCGCACAAGCGGUGGAGCAUGUGGUUUAAUUCGAUGCAACGCGAAGAACCUUACCUGGUCUUGACAUAGUGAGAAUCCUGCAGAGAUGCGGGAGUGCCUUCGGGAAUUCACAUACAGGUGCUGCAUGGCUGUCGUCAGCUCGUGUCGUGAGAUGUUGGGUUAAGUCCCGCAACGAGCGCAACCCUUUUCCUUAUUUGCCAGCGGGUUAAGCCGGGAACUUUAAGGAUACUGCCAGUGACAAACUGGAGGAAGGCGGGGACGACGUCAAGUCAUCAUGGCCCUUACGACCAGGGCUACACACGUGCUACAAUGGUAGGUACAGAGGGUUGCUACACAGCGAUGUGAUGCUAAUCUCAAAAAGCCUAUCGUAGUCCGGAUUGGAGUCUGCAACUCGACUCCAUGAAGUCGGAAUCGCUAGUAAUCGCAGAUCAGAAUGCUGCGGUGAAUACGUUCCCGGGCCU
Molecule: ribosomal RNA, 1355 nt
Filed under: uncultured bacterium
Lineage: Bacteria
Description: bacterial SSU rRNA
Rfam family: Bacterial small subunit ribosomal RNA
Source: RNAcentral